GGGCGGGUGGCGAAAUUGGUAGACGCAUCAGACUCAAAAUCUGACGGCAGCGAUGUCAUGAGAGUUCGAUUCUCUCCCUGCCCA
This is a transfer RNA of Crinalium epipsammum PCC 9333, 84 nucleotides long. It matches the Rfam family "tRNA". Rfam says of the family: Transfer RNA (tRNA) molecules are approximately 80 nucleotides in length. Their secondary structure includes four short double-helical elements and three loops (D, anti-codon, and T loops). NCBI's taxonomy places the organism in Bacteria, Bacillati, Cyanobacteriota, Cyanophyceae, Gomontiellales, Gomontiellaceae. The record is from Rfam.